RNAcentral lists this ribosomal RNA (369 nucleotides) under Staphylococcus saprophyticus. Its description in RNAcentral is "partial 16S ribosomal RNA". It matches the Rfam family "Bacterial small subunit ribosomal RNA", at positions 1161 to 1527 of the family's 1533-position model. The record is from RNAcentral. Lineage: Bacteria; Bacillati; Bacillota; Bacilli; Caryophanales; Staphylococcaceae.
AACCGGAGGAAGGUGGGGAUGACGUCAAAUCACUCUGGCCUUUACGAUUUGGGCUAUACACUUGCUAUGAUGCACAAUACAAAGGGCAGCUAAACCGCGAGGGCAAGCAAAUCCCAUAAAGUUCUUCUCAGUUAUGAUUGUCGGCUGCUCCUCUACUUGAUGAAGCUGGAAUCGCUAAUAAUCGUGGAUCAGAGCGCUACGGAGAAUACUUUCCGGGGUCUUGUACACCCCCCCCGUCACACCAGGAGAGUGUGUAACACAAGAAGGGGGUAGAAUAACUUUUUGGGGGGCUAGCCGUCGAAGGUGACACAAGAGAUUGGGGGGAAAUCUCAAAAGGGUGUCCGUAUGGGAAAGUGCGGUUGGAUCACC